CAGCAGCAGCCGCGGGAAUACGGAGGGAGCUAGCGUUGUUCGGAAUUACUGGGCGUAAAGCGCACGUAGGCGGUUAUUCAAGCCAGAGGUGAAAGCCCGGGGCUCAACCCCGGAACUGCCUUUGAAACUAGAUGACUGGAAUCUUGGAGAGGUCAGUGGAAUUCCGAGUGUAGAGGUGAAAUUCGUAGAUAUUCGGAAGAACACCAGUGGCGAAGGCGACUGACUGGACAAGUAUUGACGCUGAGGUGCGAAAGCGUGGGGAGCAAACAGGAUUAGAUACCCGCGUAGUCCCUGUCUCUUAUAC
This 304-nucleotide ribosomal RNA is filed under the name uncultured bacterium. Its description in RNAcentral is "partial 16S ribosomal RNA". It matches the Rfam family "Bacterial small subunit ribosomal RNA", at positions 506 to 807 of the family's 1533-position model. The record is from RNAcentral.